This 308-nucleotide ribosomal RNA is filed under the name uncultured bacterium. Its description in RNAcentral is "bacterial SSU rRNA". It matches the Rfam family "Bacterial small subunit ribosomal RNA", at positions 28 to 334 of the family's 1533-position model. The record is from RNAcentral.
GACGAACGCUGGCGGCGUGCUUAACACAUGCAAGUUGAACGGAAAGGCCCUGCUUUUGUGGGGUGCUCGAGUGGCGAACGGGUGAGUAACACGUGAGUAACCUGCCCUUGACUUUGGGAUAACUUCAGGAAACUGGGGCUAAUACCGGAUAGGAGCUCCUGCUGCAUGGUGGGGGUUGGAAAGUUUCGGCGGUUGUGGAUGGACUCGCGGCCUAUCAGCUUGUUGGUGGGGUAGUGGCCUACCAAGGCGGCGACGGGUAGCCGGCCUGAGAGGGUGACCGGCCACAUUGGGACUGAGAUACGGCCCAG